This 253-nucleotide ribosomal RNA is filed under the name uncultured bacterium. RNAcentral's name for it is "partial 16S ribosomal RNA". It matches the Rfam family "Bacterial small subunit ribosomal RNA", at positions 524 to 776 of the family's 1533-position model. The record is from RNAcentral.
UACAGAGGGUGCAAGCGUUGUUCGGAAUUAUUGGGCGUAAAGGGAGUGUAGGCGGUUUGUUAAGUCUUCUGUGAAAUCUACGGGCUCAGCCUGUAACGUGCAGAGGAAACUGGCAGACUUGAGUGUUGGAGAGGGCAGGGGAAUACCCAGUGUAGAGGUGAAAUUCGUAGAUAUGGGGAGGAACACCGGUGGCGAAGGCGGCCACCUGGACGGUUUCUGACGCUAAGACGCGAAAGCGUGGGGAGCAAACAGG